This 480-nucleotide ribosomal RNA is filed under the name Providencia rettgeri. Its description in RNAcentral is "partial 23S ribosomal RNA". It matches the Rfam family "Bacterial large subunit ribosomal RNA", at positions 2451 to 2925 of the family's 2925-position model. Lineage: Bacteria; Pseudomonadati; Pseudomonadota; Gammaproteobacteria; Enterobacterales; Morganellaceae. The record is from RNAcentral.
AACGGAUAAAAGGUACUCCGGGGAUAACAGGCUGAUACCGCCCAAGAGUUCAUAUCGACGGCGGUGUUUGGCACCUCGAUGUCGGCUCAUCACAUCCUGGGGCUGAAGUAGGUCCCAAGGGUACGGCUGUUCGCCGUUUAAAGUGGUACGCGAGCUGGGUUUAGAACGUCGUGAGACAGUUCGGUCCCUAUCUGCCGUGGGCGUUGGAAGAUUGAAAGGGGCUGCUCCUAGUACGAGAGGACCGGAGUGGACGCACCACUGGUGUUCGGGUUGUCAUGCCAAUGGCAUUGCCCGGUAGCUAAGUGCGGAAGAGAUAACCGCUGAAAGCAUCUAAGCGGGAAACUUGCCUUGAGAUGAGUCUUCCCUGACCCUUUAAGGGUCCUAAAGGAACGUUUAAGACUAAGACGUUGAUAGGUUGGGUGUGUAAGCAUAGCGAUAUGUUGAGCUAACCAAUACUAAUGAACCGUGAGGCUUAACCUG